GUCUUUGUGGUGUAACGAACACACUAGAUUUUCGAUCUAGAAUUGAGCUUUGGGCUUCAAAGAUU
This 65-nucleotide transfer RNA is filed under the name Latona dysoni. Its description in RNAcentral is "tRNA-Glu". It matches the Rfam family "tRNA". From Rfam's summary of the family: Transfer RNA (tRNA) molecules are approximately 80 nucleotides in length. Their secondary structure includes four short double-helical elements and three loops (D, anti-codon, and T loops). Further hydrogen bonds mediate the characteristic L-shaped molecular structure. tRNAs have two regions of fundamental functional importance: the anti-codon, which is responsible for specific mRNA codon recognition, and the 3' end, to which the tRNAs corresponding amino acid is attached (by aminoacyl-tRNA synthetases). tRNAs cope with the degeneracy of the genetic code in two manners: having more than one tRNA (with a specific anti-codon) for a particular amino acid; and 'wobble' base-pairing, i.e. permitting non-standard base-pairing at the 3rd anti-codon position. The record is from RNAcentral. Lineage: Eukaryota; Metazoa; Arthropoda; Branchiopoda; Diplostraca; Sididae.